This 496-nucleotide ribosomal RNA is filed under the name uncultured bacterium. RNAcentral's name for it is "partial 16S ribosomal RNA". It matches the Rfam family "Bacterial small subunit ribosomal RNA", at positions 29 to 507 of the family's 1533-position model. The record is from RNAcentral.
AUGCACGCUGGCGGCGUGCCUAAUACCUGCCAGUCGCGCGAACAGACGAGGAGCUUGCUCCUCUGACGUUAGCGGCGGCCGGGUGAGUAACACGUGGAUAACCUACCUAUAAGACUGGGAUAACUUCGGGAAACCGGAGCUAAUACCGGAUAAUAUAUUGAACCGCAUGGUUCAAUAGUGAAAGACGGUUUUGCUGUCACUUAUAGAUGGAUCCGCGCCGCAUUAGCUAGUUGGUAAGGUAACGGCUUACCAAGGCAACGAUGCGUAGCCGACCUGAGAGGGUGAUCGGCCACACUGGAACUGAGACACGGUCCAGACUCCUACGGGAGGCAGCAGUAGGGAAUCUUCCGCAAUGGGCGAAAGCCUGACGGAGCAACGCCGCGUGAGUGAUGAAGGUCUUCGGAUCGUAAAACUCUGUUAUUAGGGAAGAACAAAUGUGUAAGUAACUAUGCACGUCUUGACGGUACCUAAUCAGAAAGCCACGGCUAACUACGUG